UUGAAACACUGGUUCUCAUACAAUCACUGAAGUUAAGCAACAUCAAGCCUGGUCAGUACCUAGAUGGGUGACCACAUUGGAAUACCGGGUGUC
RNAcentral lists this ribosomal RNA (93 nucleotides) under Acanthosepion pharaonis. Lineage: Eukaryota; Metazoa; Mollusca; Cephalopoda; Sepiida; Sepiidae. The record is from RNAcentral.